Molecule: ribosomal RNA, 1439 nt
Filed under: uncultured prokaryote
Description: partial 16S ribosomal RNA
Rfam family: Bacterial small subunit ribosomal RNA
Source: RNAcentral
CGGCAGGCUUAACACAUGCAAGUCGAGGGGUAACAGUCCCCUUUGCUUUUUUGCUGACGACCGGCGCACGGGUGAGUAACGCGUAUGCAACCUACCUUUUACUGGAAGAUAGCCCCGAGAAAUCGGGAUUAAUACUCCAUAACAUUAUGAUAUCGCAUGAUAUUAUAAUUAAAGCUUCGGCGGUAAAAGAUGGGCAUGCGUGACAUUAGUUUGUUGGUAAGGUAACGGCUUACCAAGACUUCGAUGUCUAGGGGUUCUGAGAGGAUUGUCCCCCACACUGGUACUGAGACACGGACCAGACUCCUACGGGAGGCAGCAGUGUGAAAUAUUGGUCAAUGGUCGAAAGACUGAACCAGCCAUGCCGCGUGCAGGAAGAAUGCCCUCUGGGUUGUAAACUGCUUUUAUAAGGGAAUAAACCCCAUUACGUGUAGUGGGCUGAAUGUACCUUAUGAAUAAGCACCGGCUAACUCCGUGCCAGCAGCCGCGGUAAUACGGAGGGUGCAAGCGUUAUCCGGAUUUAUUGGGUUUAAAGGGUCCGUAGGUGGAAUUGUAAGUCAGUGGUGAAAUCUUUCGGCUUAACCGGAAAACUGCCAUUGAUACUGCAGUUCUUGAGUAUGCUCGAAGUAGGCGGAAUAUGUCAUGUAGCGGUGAAAUGCAUAGAUAUGACAUAGAACACCAAUAGCGAAGGCAGCUUACUAGAUCAUAACUGACACUGAGUGACGAAAGCGUGGGGAGCGAACAGGAUUAGAUACCCUGGCAGUCCACGCCGUAAACGAUGAUCACUAGACAUUGGCGAUAUACUGUCGGUGUCAAAGCGAAAGUAUUAAGUGAUCUACCUGGGGAGUACGGUCGCAAGACUGAAACUCAAAGGAAUUGACGGGGGCCCGCACAAGCGGUGGAGCAUGUGGUUUAAUUCGAUGAUACGCGAGGAACCUUACCUGGGCUUAAAUGCAGAACGACAGACUGAAAUAGGUUUUCCCUUCGGGGCUAUUUACAAGGUGCUGCAUGGUUGUCGUCAGCUCGUGCCGUGAGGUGUCGGGUUAAGUCCCAUAACGAGCGCAACCCCUAUCGUUAGUUGCCAGCGGAUAAUGCCGGGGACUCUAGCGAGACUGCCACCGUAAGGUGAGAGGAAGGUGGGGAUGACGUCAAAUCAGCACGGCCCUUAUGUCCAGGGCUACACACGUGUUACAAUGGCAGGGACAAAAGGCAGCUACACAGCGAUGUGAUGCUAAUCUCUAAAGCCUGUCCCAGUUCGGAUUGGAGUCUGCAACCCGACUCCAUGAAGUUGGAUUCGCUAGUAAUCGGAUAUCAGCAAUGAUCCGGUGAAUACGUUCCCGGGCCUUGUACACACCGCCCGUCAAACCAUGGAAGCUGGGGGCACCUGAAGUCUGUGACCGCAAGGAGCGGCCUAGGGUGAAACUGGUAACUAGGGCUAAGUC